This 787-nucleotide ribosomal RNA is filed under the name Pseudomonas poae. RNAcentral describes it as "bacterial SSU rRNA". It matches the Rfam family "Bacterial small subunit ribosomal RNA", at positions 36 to 817 of the family's 1533-position model. The record is from RNAcentral. Lineage: Bacteria; Pseudomonadati; Pseudomonadota; Gammaproteobacteria; Pseudomonadales; Pseudomonadaceae.
CUUGGGGGGGGCCUACACAUGCAAGUCGAGCGGUAGAGAGAAGCUUGCUUCUCUUGAGAGCGGCGGACGGGUGAGUAAUGCCUAGGAAUCUGCCUGGUAGUGGGGGAUAACGUUCGGAAACGGACGCUAAUACCGCAUACGUCCUACGGGAGAAAGCAGGGGACCUUCGGGCCUUGCGCUAUCAGAUGAGCCUAGGUCGGAUUAGCUAGUUGGUGAGGUAAUGGCUCACCAAGGCGACGAUCCGUAACUGGUCUGAGAGGAUGAUCAGUCACACUGGAACUGAGACACGGUCCAGACUCCUACGGGAGGCAGCAGUGGGGAAUAUUGGACAAUGGGCGAAAGCCUGAUCCAGCCAUGCCGCGUGUGUGAAGAAGGUCUUCGGAUUGUAAAGCACUUUAAGUUGGGAGGAAGGGCAGUUACCUAAUACGUAAUUGUUUUGACGUUACCGACAGAAUAAGCACCGGCUAACUCUGUGCCAGCAGCCGCGGUAAUACAGAGGGUGCAAGCGUUAAUCGGAAUUACUGGGCGUAAAGCGCGCGUAGGUGGUUUGUUAAGUUGGAUGUGAAAUCCCCGGGCUCAACCUGGGAACUGCAUUCAAAACUGACUGACUAGAGUAUGGUAGAGGGUGGUGGAAUUUCCUGUGUAGCGGUGAAAUGCGUAGAUAUAGGAAGGAACACCAGUGGCGAAAGGCGACCACCUGGACUAAUACUGACACUGAGGUGCGAAAGCGUGGGGAAGCAAACAGGAUUAGAUACCCUGGUAGUCCACGCCGUAAACGAUGUCAACU